GGCCUUGUGGCGCAACGUACGUUCAUUUCACCAUCCAUCCGGAUGAAUUCUUCGCUAACAACUCCAAACAGGGUAGCGCGUUCGACUCCAGAUCGAAAGGUUAUCCGUUCAAAUCGGGUCAGGGUCA
Echria macrotheca is the source of this 127-nucleotide non-coding RNA. The record is from the annotation of a GenBank genome assembly. NCBI's taxonomy places the organism in Eukaryota, Fungi, Ascomycota, Sordariomycetes, Sordariales, Schizotheciaceae.